UCCGCGCAUGCAGGGGAGCUUUCGGCCCCGGCCCGCCCCGGGGGACUUCAGUGCCCCAUGCCUGGGGACCGCAGCGCCCUCUGACCCGAGACCCCGACCCCGGGGACCCCGGUGCCCCCUGCCCCGAGACCCCGGUCCCACCCCUGGGGGCCGCAGCGCCCCCUGCCCCGAGACCCCGGCCCCACCCUGAGGGACCCUGCUGCUCCACCCCUGGGGACCGCAGCUCCCCCUGCCCUGGAGACGCCGGCCCCACCCCUGGGGACCCCCGGCGCACUCUGCCCCUUGAGACGUGCGCGAGGUCCCGCGGCCCUGAGCGCGCGCGCCCCGUCCCGAAACCCGGCUCCCCUUUCUCAUCCGACCAUGAUUCAGGGAGCGGCUGCUGGCUGCCAGACCUGCCCUCGGCACCCUCCCCAGGCCCCACGACGAUGGAGGGAGGCGAUGACCCCCUACGGGGUCUCGUGGAGGCGUCCCUCUGGCCAGCGUGCUGUGAGACUCAGACGAGGUGGGGCGAUCCCUGGCCGCUGAUGGAUCGCCCAGACUGGAACCAGUGGGCCCGGGGUCCACAGCUCACCGGCCCUGCUUCCUGGGCCACUAGUGCGGGCAGGGCCAACGCUGGGUAAGCGUCGGGGAGGGUACCCCGGAAUGGGGGAGGACGAGGACUGAAGGAGCCAGUGGGCCGGGUACCUGAGUGAGUACAAUAAGGAGCGCGGAUCCCCGGGAGGGACGGGAUCAGGACGUGGGGAGGGCCCGCCUCUGGGAAGGGAAGGCAGAAGCCAUAGGUGGUCGCUGUCGGAGCUGUGAGAAGGUGAGGUCAGUGGGCUCAGGGGCCACCUGCGGCCCUCCCCCAAAUCUGUGUGCAUCCACCCCCAGAGAACGCAGCAGAGUCUGAUGGUGAGCUCCUGCUGCCACCGAGGUCGCGCCCUUUUUCAGCCUGGGUGCAGCCCCACUCAGGAAUGGUGUGCCCCCGCUCCUCCCCCAGCUCCCACCCUACGGAUACCAUUGCUCUUCUAUUUUCUGGAGUGUCCCCAGCCUUGGACCCUCAAGACAGGCAGCACCCUGGCUGGGCCCGGGGCAGGUUCACAGCUUCUCCCCUGCGGAACCUCAGCCCCGACCUGGUGGACUUCUCAGGCCCACGGAGGACUCACGCCUCUGACCCGCAGAGGGCUGCAGCUCCCGCCCAAGCCAGCCUUGCCCAGCCCAAAGCGCCAGCCACCUGCCAACUCCAACAUCUCGAUGAUUGUGUUUGGUUCCUGGUGUUUUAAAAACGGUUUAAAAUUAAUGACUAACACUUACAAAUUGAGAGUCUCUUGUAAAAAGAUUUGAAAAAUCAGAAGAUCUGGCAACACGGAGCCCGUGGUGUGCAGGGCGCCGGUCACAGGGGCUGCGAAGUGACCAGCCCCUGUGGAUGAGGCUGGACUGUGCCUCUCCCUUUAAUGCCCACUUCUGAAUGGCGCCUCCUGUCUGGUCCUUUGAGUCUCUACGAUUUGGAGCCUCAGACGGUAUCUUAGACAGUUCUCUACCCUUUCCCCCAAAGUGGUUCCAGUAAGAGGAUCUGAAUGUAGGGUAACUAACAAGAGGAGGCCAGGUGAAGGCCAGUACCAGGAGUGGGGGCACCAGAGACUAGCCCCUGGGCCUGAAGGGGUGGGGCAGGGAUGGAGAGGGCUGGAGGAGUGGAGAUGGGGUCACCCGGUGGGAGCUGUGAUUGUGGGGGAGGAGUGUGACUACCCCGCCACUCUCCCCCACCCCAUCCUGUCAGCACUGUCCACUGGCCAAUCCUCCUCCUAAUCUGGAGGCCAAGGGAGCCCAGGGGAUGUGGUCACAGCCGGAGCCUAGAGCCAGGUAGACAACAAUUGGGGGAGCCAGGUGGGGACAGGGAACCACCAACUCCAUCCCUGCCUUAGAACCUUCCACCUUGUCAGACAGGGACCCCACGUCACCCCAGCAUCUCCUCAGAUCUCCUCUUGGCCUGUCCCCACCUGAUACCUAACCCAGGACCCGGUUUCUUCCCCUCUCUUCUCUGCAGAGGUUUUCGAAGGCACCAGGCUCGCUGCUCAACAGGCCCUGCCCUCCAUGAGGUUGUCUCUGCCCAAAUCUCCCCCUCAGCUGACCGCAGUCCUCCAGAGGCCAAGCAGAGAGCUGCUGCCCGUUGGCCCCUUGGUUUCCUCCCCUCUCGAAGGGUCUCCUUCCCACGGCCCCUGGGAGCCUGUCUUUCCUCUGACCCUGUGACAGGAAGAGUCCCCAAACCUCAUCCCGCCCAGGUCACUGAGUGAUACAGGCAUGCAGAGGCCCCACGGUCUACCCAGUUCAGUGUCUCCCAGGUCAGUGUGAGGCUUGACCUCACCACACAAGGUGUCCCCUCCCCUGUCCCACAACUGUGACUUCAGGAGCAAGAUGCACUCAGGUAGACCACACACUGUUCUGUGAGAAUGAAACCCAAGCCGCUUGCUAGGAGCCCCAUAUCUGUGUUUAUUUUACAUCAAAUACAUAUGAUUCCCCGCUUUUGUGACCCCACCUGACCCCGUUCCUUCCGGGUCUGCUCUCCAUCGGACCCGGGUUGCAUGCUUGAGUGUGGGCCUUGCCAACGGCCUCAGACUGGCUGAGCCUCUGCAGAUGACCCUCCCCUGGGCCCGACGUUGCCUUUGUGCCUACUCGGGGUAGUGCUAGGUGGUCCCAAAUGGGCCACGCCUGGGGCUCUCAAGUCCUAAAGUCAGCUGGCAUUGACCCUUCCAGCCACCUAAGUGCAGAGCUCCCAGGGUCAGGGCUGGCUGCCCCAGGCACCUGUGGGCGUGGCCCCUGACGGGUGGGCCUCCCUUCACGCGGUGCUGGAGAGCAGGGGAGCCUGGUUCAGCCUUGACUCUCCCUCUAUCCCUCCCCUUUACUCCAUCCUGCAGCCAUGUUCCAGAAAGUGCCGUGUGCUUGACUGCUUGGGUCUCGUGAAUCUCACAGUCCUGCCAAGGCCUGGCCGCUGGCCCUCCCUGGCUGCCCUUUCCCGGGGGUUCUCAGGUCCUCAGCAACAUCCCUCACUCCCUCCGUGGCCAGCAGCCUGAUCCCUGCUUUUCCUCUGUUCUCAUCGGGGAUUCUUGAUCGGGGUGUGUGCUCACUCGUUCCCACGCAGCAUGUGCCUCUCACACCCAUCGAGUGCUGGGCCCCGUGCUCACUCCAGGGGUUCCUGCGGAGCUCAGGCCCUGCUGUCUAAUCAGCAGGGAGGGCCAGGGAGAUGGAGGCCUUCCCAUGGGGUCCCGCGGCCCACCAGGCCCUAAGACUCGUGUGUAGAGGGGUGUGAGAACCCGAUAGGGGGCAGAAGGGCUGCGGAUCGAGGCAUGAAAGCUGAUGGGCGAUCCCAGGGCUCUGGUCGGGGAGAGGUUAGCAGGGGUGGGGACAGGCAAGAGCAAAAUGGAGCAGGCCGCCAGGGCUCCCUGCAUUCCCAGGACUGCCUGUGUGCCUGUGACAGGGCAGGCUCAGCUGAGGCACCAGCCCCACCCACAGGGAGAUGCCAUUCAGGGCCGCGUACCACGCGGGCUCUCAGAACUCAAAAUUACCGUCGUGCCUGUCAGUGGCAGAGAGCCCUUUGAUAACAAGGGUAAACGCAAAGGUGCCGGUGUUCCAUGCUAUGGAUGAUCGGGAGUCGGCGGGAUUUGAUGCCAUUUUUUGAUGUUCUGGGCUGGGAUCUAUCUGUGAUCAAGUCCUGCCUCUGCGAGGGACAGCCGAUGGGCCAGAAACACGAGGAACGUCAGAGGAAGGGACCCAGUCCCACUCGAGGCCUCUGCCAACAUGAGGCAGCCCUGGGAGAGAGAGAAGGCGAGUGAGCCUGUGUCAGCAGCUGGUCCACCCUCCACCCAGCUGCUUAUGAGCCAAGAGGAGAGAGGUGACUGGUAGUGUGUCCCGGAGCAAGGCCUGCCCAGGCCUGUGCACGCUGAGAGAGCAGGAGGCAACAAGAACAAGAAAAACACCCAAACUGGACAUCGCCACUCAGCCCAGCCAGCGACUGACCUGUUAGUCAGCAGCUUUUUCCCUCGAGGGCGCUCGGAAGGGGCUCCCAAGUUCUAGAGGUUGGGAAGUCCAAGAUUGAGGCGUUGGCAGAUCCAUUGUCUGGUGAGUUCGUACCUGGUGCCUUCUUGGUGUGUCCUUAUACAGUAGAAAGGGCGAGGAGAUCUCUGGGGUCCCUCUCAUAAGGGCGCUAAUCCCAUUCAUGAGGGCUCCAUUCUCAUGACCGAACCACCUCCCAAAGGCCCCACCUCCUAAUGCCAUCACACUGGGGCUAGGUUUCAACAGAGGAGUUUGAGGGGACACAGACAUUCAGUUCAUAGCACAAAGUGACAGAGUUAAGCUGCAGAGAUGGGAAUUUCUGUCUGAGGAAAAUCUGAUCACUUUGGGGACAUCCCCCGGUUCUGUGAUCCUUGACACCGUUAUGAAGGACUGUCUGUCAUUCUUCCAGAGAGAGCCUCUCCCUGCCCCAGUCUCUCCCUCGGAUUUCUGCGUCUGCCCAGGCCCUGAGUCCAUCCUUGCCUCCUGCCUGGCAGUGCAGGGCAGCCUAGGGGAAAGGGCGGACAGGAGGAGCAGAGAUGACAAGCAGAAAGAAACAGGCAGGAGUGGGGUCUGGCCUGCAGACAGAUGAGGCACGAGGGAUGAGAAAGACUCCCUCCUUGACCCAACUUGUUAUCUGAACCUCAUCUCAAUUAGGCCUUGAUUUUUUGGCUUCCAUGUCUGCCUUUGCAUCACCCAGUUUUAGCAAAAAUCCCAUCAAGUCGGUUUAGCCAGAAUCUCCACCCUCGAUAUUUGAUCACCCUCCAUAUCUGAUCGAAGUCUCCCCACGCCACCCCCAGGAGAGUUCUGGUCACCCUGGCCUGCCUUCAGCAAGAAUCCAGUCGGGUCUGUUUAACCAGAGUCCCCCAAACCCUACCCCUGAUGUUUCUCUUAGUGAUUUUCCAUCCGCUGACUUCCUCCCACCUGCUCCUUGGCUGUGAAUCCGCACUCGUCCUUGCCGUAUGUGGAAUUGAGUCCAGUUCUAUUCUGAGGUCUCUUUUCCCCUAUUGCAUUAGAUCUUAAAUAAAAUCUGCUUUAGCCACUUUAA
Molecule: non-coding RNA, 5071 nt
Organism: Equus caballus (horse)
Lineage: Eukaryota; Metazoa; Chordata; Mammalia; Perissodactyla; Equidae
Source: RefSeq, a predicted model, not a curated record